AACGUAGGUACCGAGCGUUAUCCGGAUUUACUGGGCGUACAGCGCGUUCAGGCGGUACGGCAAGUCGGGCAUGAAAUCUCUCGGCUCAACCGGGAGACGUUGUCCGAUACUGCCGAACUCGAGGGCAGUAGAGGGUGGUGGAAUUCCGGGUGUAGGGGUGAAAUGCGUAGAGAUCCGGAGGAACAGCAGUGGCGAAAGCGGCCACCUGGACUGCACCUGACGCUCAAACGCGAAAGCGAGGGGAGCGAACGGG
This 253-nucleotide ribosomal RNA is filed under the name uncultured bacterium. RNAcentral describes it as "partial 16S ribosomal RNA". It matches the Rfam family "Bacterial small subunit ribosomal RNA", at positions 524 to 776 of the family's 1533-position model. The record is from RNAcentral.